AAGCGUGCGCAGGCGGUUAUGUAAGACACGAUGUGAAAUCCCCGGGCUCAACCUGGGAACUGCAUUAGUGACUGCAUAGCUGGAGUACGGCAGAGGGGGAUGGAAUUCCGCGUGUAGCAGUGAAAUGCGUAGAUAUGCGGAGGAACACCGAUGGCGAAGGCAAUCCCCUGGGCCUGUACUGACGCUCAUGCACGAAAGCGUGGGGAGCAAACAGGAUUAGAUACCCCUGU
This 230-nucleotide ribosomal RNA is filed under the name uncultured bacterium. Its description in RNAcentral is "partial 16S ribosomal RNA". It matches the Rfam family "Bacterial small subunit ribosomal RNA", at positions 563 to 791 of the family's 1533-position model. The record is from RNAcentral.